GACGAACGCUGGCGGCGUGCCUAAUACAUGCAAGUAGAACGCACAGUUUAUACCGUAGCUUGCUACACCAUAGACUGUGAGUUGCGAACGGGUGAGUAACGCGUAGGUAACCUGCCUGGUAGCGGGGGAUAACUAUUGGAAACGAUAGCUAAUACCGCAUAAUAUUGAUUAUUGCAUGAUAAUUGAUUGAAAGAUGCUAUUGCAUCACUACCAGAUGGACCUGCGUUGUAUUAGCUAGUAGGUGAGGUAACGGCUCACCUAGGCGACGAUACAUAGCCGACCUGAGAGGGUGAUCGGCCACACUGGGACGGAGACACGGCCCAGACUCCUACGGGAGGCAGCAGUAGGGAAUCUUCGGCAAUGGACGAAAGUCUGACCGAGCAACGCCGCGUGAGUGAAGAAGGUUUUCGGAUCGGAAAGCUCUGUUGUAAGAGAAGAACGGGUGUGAGAGUGGAAAGUUCACACUGUGACGGUAUCUGACCAGAAAGGGACGGCUAACUACGUG
This 505-nucleotide ribosomal RNA is filed under the name uncultured bacterium. RNAcentral describes it as "partial 16S ribosomal RNA". It matches the Rfam family "Bacterial small subunit ribosomal RNA", at positions 28 to 507 of the family's 1533-position model. The record is from RNAcentral.